Molecule: ribosomal RNA, 492 nt
Filed under: uncultured bacterium
Lineage: Bacteria
Description: partial 16S ribosomal RNA
Rfam family: Bacterial small subunit ribosomal RNA
Source: RNAcentral
AGUGAACGCUGGCGGUAGGCCUAACACAUGCAAGUCGAACGGCAGCACAGUAAGAGCUUGCUCUUACGGGUGGCGAGUGGCGGACGGGUGAGGAAUACAUCGGAAUCUACUUUUUCGUGGGGGAUAACGUAGGGGAACUUACGCUAAUACCGCAUACGACCUACGGGUGAAAGCAGGGGAUCUUCGGACCUUGCGCGAUUGAAUGAGCCGAUGUCGGAUUAGCUAGUUGGCGGGGUAAAGGCCCACCAAGGCGACGAUCCGUAGCUGGUCUGAGAGGAUGAUCAUCCUCACUGGAACUGAGACACGGUCCAGACUCCUACGGGAGGCAGCGGUGGGGAAUAUUGGACAAAGGGCGCAAGCCUGAUCCAGCCAUACCGCGUGGGUGAAGAAGGCCUUCGGGUUGUAAAGCCCUUUUGUUGGGAAAGAAAAGCAGCAGGUUAAUACCCCGCUGUUCUGACGGUACCCAAAGAAUAAGCACCGGCUAACUUCGUG